CCAAUAGCGUAUAUUAAAGUUGUUGCAGUUAAAAAGCUCGUAGUUGAAUUUCGGGAUCAAUAUUUCGGUCAUGCCGUUGGUAUGCACUGUUAUCAUUGAUUUCUCACCUUCUAAAGAACCGUAAUGCCAUUAAUUUGGUGUUACGGGGAAUUAGGACUGUUACCUUGAAAAAAUUAGAGUGUUUAAAGCAGGCUCACGCUUGAAUACAUUAGCAUGGAAUAAUGAAAUAGGACAUCCGAUUCUAUUUUGUUGGUUUCUAGGAUCGAUGUAAUGAUUAAUAGGGAUAGUUGGGGGCAUUAGUAUUCAAUUGUCAGAGGUGAAAUUCUUGGAUUUAUUGAAGACUAACUACUGCGAAAGCAUUUGCCAAGGAUGUUUUCAUUAAUCAAGAACGAAAGUUAGGGGAUCGAAGACGAUCAGAUACCGUCGUAGUCUUAACCAUAAACUAUGCCGACCAGGGAUCGGAUGAUGUUAAUUUUUUAAUGACUCAUUCGGCGCCUUACG
Molecule: ribosomal RNA, 501 nt
Filed under: uncultured Glomeromycotina
Lineage: Eukaryota; Fungi; Glomeromycota
Description: partial small subunit ribosomal RNA
Rfam family: Eukaryotic small subunit ribosomal RNA
Source: RNAcentral